Molecule: long non-coding RNA, 301 nt
Filed under: Homo sapiens (human)
Lineage: Eukaryota; Metazoa; Chordata; Mammalia; Primates; Hominidae
Description: non-protein coding lnc-KYNU-8:2
Source: RNAcentral
ACCAAACCAGCCACAUGUAGAGUUCUACAUGGAGGAGAACCAAAGCCCCAGCCAACAGAUCAAACUGAGUUUAUAGCCAGCACCAUCUCUGCUGUUAGGUAAGUGAGAACAUUUUAGACUUUUAAGCUCCCCCAGCACUUCAGAUCAUAUCAUAUUAAGCAGAGGAUUACCUAUUCAACUGACACAGUUGUGAAAAAUAAUAAAUUGUUUCUGUUUUAAGGCACGAAGUUCUACGAUCAUAAGUCAGUUACAAACAACUGACUUUUUUUUUUUUAAAAAAAAACAACUCAUACCUAGAAGU